Dermochelys coriacea (leatherback sea turtle) is the source of this 356-nucleotide long non-coding RNA. RefSeq lists it as uncharacterized. Lineage: Eukaryota; Metazoa; Chordata; Testudines; Dermochelyidae. The record is from RefSeq and is a predicted model, not a curated record. The transcript is spliced from 3 exons.
AGUUCUGGAAACCUCCUGCUGUUGUCAAAACACAGCUGAGACAUGGAAAUGAUGUUUGUUACACAUCCAAACUAAAAAAGGUCCCUCUGUUUGUCACUUUCCAUCUUCCAGAUGGUUUUUUAACAGAUCAUUAACGCAGAUCAUUUGGACACCACACAAUCAACCUCCUGUCUUAUUGAAAAUGACCACUUAUUUGUACACUUUAUGUUCUCUCUUUGCCAGCAGCUUCUGAUUUAUGAUAGUAUUUCCACUCAUCGGGUGGCUAGUUGGCUUCCUUAGCUACUUCUUAUGAGGCGCUUUGUCAAGUGACUGUUUUAAAGUCCAAAUAAAAAUGUAUGUAUGCCACUUCUCCUUUA